GAACGGAUCAGAAACAUAAUUUCUGAAAAGCAUCUCUACAUCACUACAACCAACGACUGACAUAAUGGCUUCUAUCCAAGUGAAGAUGCUUGUUGUGAUCUGCCUGCUUCAUCUGUGUUUUGAAUGCACUGAGGGGAUUCGUUUCUUCAAAUCAAGGAAUGCUAAAAAAGGCUCCAGGAAGUCCUCACAUAAGGCUGUUGCCAAGCCUGCUGCCCCACCUGCUGCCCCACCUGCUGCUCCGACUCCUGCCCCACCUGCUGCCCCGCCUGCUGCCCAGCCUGAUGCUCCGCCUGCUGAUGCCGCUGCCCCAGCGCCAGGAGAAUAAACCCUUAAUAAAUUCUUCAGCAAGGAGGAUUCAGAGCAUGUUUAAAAUGUUAUCACUGAUUGAAACAUAUAUGUACUCUGCACAAAGUCAUGGAACUACUGUAUAAACUCAAUUGUCCAAAUUGCUAUUUCGAUGCAACUGUUUAAUUUUCAAAGUUUUUGUCAAUAAUCAAACUGCAAUAUACAUAAGUUAAAUUUUAAAAUCAUGUUUUUUCACUGCAAAUCUUGUGAUCUCAAUAAA
This is a long non-coding RNA of Xyrauchen texanus (razorback sucker), 565 nucleotides long. RefSeq lists it as uncharacterized. The transcript is spliced from 3 exons. Lineage: Eukaryota; Metazoa; Chordata; Actinopteri; Cypriniformes; Catostomidae. The record is from RefSeq and is a predicted model, not a curated record.